This 263-nucleotide ribosomal RNA is filed under the name uncultured bacterium. RNAcentral's name for it is "partial 16S ribosomal RNA". It matches the Rfam family "Bacterial small subunit ribosomal RNA", at positions 1238 to 1500 of the family's 1533-position model. The record is from RNAcentral.
AACAAAGGGAAGCGAGAGAGCGAUCUGGAGCAAAUCCCAAAAAUAACGUCCCAGUUCGGAUUGUAGUCUGCAACCCGACUACAUGAAGCUGGAAUCGCUAGUAAUCGCGAAUCAGCAUGUCGCGGUGAAUACGUUCCCGGGUCUUGUACACACCGCCCGUCACACCAUGGGAGUCGGUAACGCCCGAAGUCAGUGACCCAACCGGAAGGAGGGAGCUGCCGAAGGCGGGACUGGUAACUGGGGUGAAGUCGUAACAAGGUAUC